ACUAGUGGAAUGCGGGUCUCUAUUUUUCGGGAGCUGCCACAGCCAUCGGGGUUUGAGCUGAGAAACUGGAUCCUUCCUCGCUGAAACACUGCCCUACCUGUCGAAUUUAAGGCAGGGAUGUGUUUUUACCAGGAAAAGAAACUGCCUCAAAAUAUUUUGUAUUUUACCUAGGCUACAUAUCACAAUAUAGGCUCACAUCUGGAUUCGUCACUGCACAGGCUGAAUACGACAUAUCAUGAUGAAAUUUGCCUAAUGCUCGUCAGACUGUUUCCUCUCUCACUUUGAUACAUUCAUUGUAGCUUAGAGUGGAAACUAAUUUACAUUCCGGCAACGUGAGUACAUAGAGGCAAACACAUAGCCUACCGUUAGAUGCAUACGACAAAUUCAAUUAGAAUAUUUUUUGGGGGGGAGACAGCACAAAUAGAUGAUGGCUUUCGAGGUUUAGAAGCUGGCGAAAUCAGAUUUACAAGACCAAGGGAAAGAGUAAAGGCCGAGAGGGGCUCAGACGUGGCUUUCUUCACAGCAGACACAAUACUUUGAACGACACAAAAGCUUUAAAAUCAAAUACUGUCAUAAAGUCAAAUACCAAGGGGUCUACUGCUUCCUGAACAACAGUGUGUUGGUGUCUCAAGGGGACAGGGAUCUGGAAACAAGUAGAUAGGGAGCAGGAGAUAUAGGAGCUACAGGGGCCACGGUGUCUAUCUGCUCCUCAGUUCCCCUGUGAGGCUGUCUUUGUGUCAGGGAUCGAGAGGUGGACACACACAUACAGCCAAGGACUGGCUAACAGCAGGACUAACCCACUCUGAAGGGCACUGGAGGGCCACUGGGCAGAAGGUUGGCAUCUGGCUGGCAGAGAGGGGGCACUGUGGUGAGCAGGCGACCGCAGCAUCGAGA
This is a non-coding RNA of Salmo salar (Atlantic salmon), 894 nucleotides long. NCBI's taxonomy places the organism in Eukaryota, Metazoa, Chordata, Actinopteri, Salmoniformes, Salmonidae. The record is from RefSeq and is a predicted model, not a curated record.